Rosa rugosa (rugosa rose) is the source of this 348-nucleotide long non-coding RNA. RefSeq lists it as uncharacterized. NCBI's taxonomy places the organism in Eukaryota, Viridiplantae, Streptophyta, Magnoliopsida, Rosales, Rosaceae. The transcript has 2 exons. The record is from RefSeq and is a predicted model, not a curated record.
CACACUCAGGCUUAAUUACAGAUUUUAUCUUAAGUGCAGGUUUGGUGGCAGAUUAAAUAUAGCAUUGAAGAAAAUAACAAGAUUUACUUUUCUUAGUUACUGUUUGAUACUAUAGACGAUGAGGUUGGAGCUGCGUUUUCCAUGGUAUACAUAUUUGGAGCUCCGGUCAUGUUUGUUGGGUGUGGGCAGUGCUACACACACCUCAAAAAGUUGAAUGUAAAAUCAAUUGUGAAGACCCCUUUGGUUAGAAUGCUUAGGUUAGAAUGUUUUUGUUCUUUUAAUGUUGGUUUGGAUGAUUGGGAAAUGCUCCUUUUUUACAUUUGAAGUUUAUAGUAUGAGUUCGAUUAA